UACGUAGGGAGCAAGCGUUGUUCGGAUUUACUGGGCGUAAAGGGUGCGUAGGCGGCGCGGUAAGUCGGAUGUGAAAUCUCGGAGCUUAACUCCGAAACUGCAUUCGAUACUGCCGUGCUUGAGGACUGGAGAGGAGACUGGAAUUUACGGUGUAGCGGUGAAAUGCGUAGAUAUCGUAAGGAAGACCAGUGGCGAAGGCGGGUCUCUGGACAGUUCCUGACGCUGAGGCACGAAGGCCAGGGGAGCAAACGGG
This 253-nucleotide ribosomal RNA is filed under the name uncultured bacterium. RNAcentral's name for it is "partial 16S ribosomal RNA". It matches the Rfam family "Bacterial small subunit ribosomal RNA", at positions 524 to 776 of the family's 1533-position model. The record is from RNAcentral.